This 1247-nucleotide ribosomal RNA is filed under the name 'Catharanthus roseus' phytoplasma. Its description in RNAcentral is "bacterial SSU rRNA". It matches the Rfam family "Bacterial small subunit ribosomal RNA", at positions 153 to 1399 of the family's 1533-position model. Lineage: Bacteria; Bacillati; Mycoplasmatota; Mollicutes; Acholeplasmatales; Acholeplasmataceae. The record is from RNAcentral.
GAAACGACUGCUAAGACUGGAUAGGAAAAGUGAAGGCAUCUUUACUUUUUUAAAAGACCUUCUUUGAAGGUAUGCUUAAGGAGGGGCUUGCGACACAUUAGUUAGUUGGCAGGGUAAAGGCCUACCAAGACUAUGAUGUGUAGCUGGACUGAGAGGUUGAACAGCCACAUUGGGACUGAGACACGGCCCAAACUCCUACGGGAGGCAGCAGUAGGGAAUUUUCGGCAAUGGAGGAAACUCUGACCGAGCAACGCCGCGUGAACGAUGAAGUACCUCGGUAUGUAAAGUUCUUUUAUUAAGGAAGAAAAAAGAGUGGAAAAACUCCCUUGACGGUACUUAAUGAAUAAGCCCCGGCUAAUUAUGUGCCAGCAGCCGCGGUAAUACAUAAGGGGCGAGCGUUAUCCGGAAUUAUUGGGCGUAAAGGGUGCGUAGGCGGUUUAAUAAGUCUAUAGUUUAAUUUCAGCGCUUAACGCUGUUGUGCUAUAGAAACUGUUUUACUAGAGUGAGAUAGAGGCAAGCGGAAUUCCAUGUGUAGCGGUAAAAUGCGUAAAUAUAUGGAGGAACACCAGAGGCGUAGGCGGCUUGCCGGGUCUUUACUGACGCUGAGGCACGAAAGCGUGGGGAGCAAACAGGAUUAGAUACCCUGGUAGUCCACGCUGUAAACGAUGAGUACUAAGUGUCGGGUAAAACCGGUACUGAAGUUAACACAUUAAGUACUCCGCCUGAGGAGUACGUACGCAAGUAUGAAACUUAAAGGAAUUGACGGGACUCCGCACAAGCGGUGGAUCAUGUUGUUUAAUUCGAAGAUACACGAAAAACCUUACCAGGUCUUGACAUUUUCUUGCGAAGUUAUAGAAAUAUAAUGGAGGUUAUCAGGAAAACAGGUGGUGCAUGGUUGUCGUCAGCUCGUGUCGUGAGAUGUUAGGUUAAGUCCUAAAACGAGCGCAACCCUUGUCGUUAAUUGCCAGCAUGUAAUGAUGGGGACUUUAACGAGACUGCCAAUGAAAAAUUGGAGGAAGGUGGGGAUUACGUCAAAUCAUCAUGCCCCUUAUGAUCUGGGCUACAAACGUGAUACAAUGGUUGAUACAAAGAGUAGCUGAAACGUGAGUUCUUAGCCAAUCUCACAAAAUCAAUCUCAGUUCGGAUUGAAGUCUGCAACUCGACUUCAUGAAGUUGGAAUCGCUAGUAAUCGUGAAUCAGCAUGUCGCGGUGAAUACGUUCUCGGGGUUUGUACACACCGCCCGUCA